CCCAACUUCCACAUCAAGGCUUGGUAUUGCUGCUGCUGGCAUCCCUCUCUCUUUUUUCUCAUAAGAUGGCUCCUCCAACAAUCCAGUACUAACCCCUUCUCAGUCAAGGGAGCGUCAGGCAGGGCCAUGAACCUAUCUUGCCCAACACUGCUAUCUUGAUUUUGGCAGCACUGGAGGGCUCGCCUUCUUCGACUGCAGCAAUGUGGUCCUGCCAGGAGUUUCUCUCUGCCUUUAGACCCCCUGCUGUUGUAGCCUUACUGUAUUCCCUGCUCACUGAUGCUUCUUCUCCUGUCAUCUCUCUACCCUAUCUUGAUACGCCUGCUCCACUGACCAGCUUUGUGACACUUUAGAAGCCACUGCUAGCUAACUCCUGUUUCCUGAGAGUACAGUGUGCCAGAACCAUGAGACAGUCACUUAUGCAUGAACACCUUAGCUCAGGAGGAGUUUAUUACCCACCUCUCCUUUGUUUAGGUCUGCCCUGUGCUCCAGUGACAACAUGGGGAUUUUUUUUUAAAGAGUUACCCUUUUGUAAGUGAGCUGCACAUAUCAAAGGCAGAGUCUGGCAACUGUUCUUCAUGCAGAACUGGUGGCAUGUACAACUCUACUGAAGUCAGUGGAGAGACUGUAUUCACACCAAUGGUAACCGAGAGAGGAAUCUGGCCCACUGAGUGCUGUGAUUGACAUUCCACUUUGAGAUGGAGAUUAAUGCUGAUCUCCCUGUGAACAAAAGAUCCUACGCUCUUGUGGGGUGAAAAGGAACAUGAUGGAGGAGAUGAUCUUCUUGCAAACACCCAUGAAUUUCAUCCAGGUAGCCCAGUACUGGGCCCAGGAACUUGCGUGUGACUAAGGUGCAGCUUGCAGAAAGGCAUCCAGUCCUGAUCUGAAGCCAUCAAGAUGGGGAAUCCACCCCUUCCCUUGGUAGUUUGUUACAAUGGUUAAUAAACUUCCUGGGUAAAAGGUUGGGCCUUAUUUCUAAUUUGUAUUUGUCUGGCUUUGGUUUCCAGCCUUUGGUUCUUGUUCUCCCUUUCUCUGCUAUAUUAAAGAGCCCAUUAG
Molecule: long non-coding RNA, 1053 nt
Organism: Mauremys reevesii (Reeves's turtle)
Lineage: Eukaryota; Metazoa; Chordata; Testudines; Geoemydidae
Exons: 3
Source: RefSeq, a predicted model, not a curated record